Molecule: long non-coding RNA, 2223 nt
Organism: Neopsephotus bourkii (Bourke's parrot)
Lineage: Eukaryota; Metazoa; Chordata; Aves; Psittaciformes; Psittacidae
Exons: 4
Source: RefSeq, a predicted model, not a curated record
GAACUGAGUUAUAGCUGUGGAGAUAGUGCCAUUAGUAACUUAUCUGCCGAGAACAACUAGUGCCUGUUUCCUUGUUUGGUUAAACAGUCUUGCCCUCAUCCUACCUCAACAUUUCCUGCACAUAAAGAUAAAGCUGAUGUCUCUGCUUGCCAACAAACUGCUGUGACAAAAACCAAUAGGAAAAACAUAAAGCCAGCAACUUAAAACUGUUGGCUGCUCACUGCAAAGACCUCUGGAAUGCAAAGACUGUUCAUUGCAAGCGGAAUUCCAGGCACAUGAACACAGCACCAUUUUGCAUCCUGAAGUGACUCUGUCUCUGGAUCCCCAGGCCUCCAGAGGGUCAUCAGACUGGAAAAAACAGGUCCUCGAGGAUUCAAAACACAGCUUCUUCUCCUAAGGCACUGACCACAGCAGUGCCCACCUCAGAUCCCUCCAACCCAAUGGACUUGAGAACUCAUUUUCAUUAAAAAUAGAGGAAUGAGCUGCUGCAGUCCUAGCACUGUGCAUCAGAUCAUUACAAAUCCUUCUGGAACUGCCUGAUUAAUCCUUUGUUAUUCAGACUUUCUGCCAGCACCCUGUCACUGCCUCUCAUCCUAAUCCUGCUGCACAAUCCCUUCCCAUCAGUAUUCUCAGCAGUUUGCAAAAACUGGAAUCCUGAGCCAAAAUGUGACAGUAUUCCUCAGGCACCUCACCCAGGCUGCAUAAAUUUACAGAGGGAAAGUUAUCUCACCUACCUUAGGCACCUAUUUUUAGUUGGGAUGAAUCUUCCACUGGAAGUGCCUCUCUCCCCACAGUAACUAUAGACAAUGAUAGCCUUGAAAUAAUAUCUAAAUAACUAAAAUAAAGCAAUAUCAGUCUCAUUUUUUGAUGCCAGGAUUAAAACCAGCACUUGCUGAGUCAGCUUUUAGGUCUCUUUUAUUCUUAUAUCAUUAUAAGAACUCAUUUUCUAAUUCCUUGACUAUUUUAAUUACAUUUAAAUUGAACUUAUUAGCAUUUAAAUGAAACUUCAUUCAAUGCCUCUCAAAAUAGAAAUCAAUUUUAAGAAUUACUUACUCUGCAGUAGGAAAAUGUGCACAUACAGGUGAAUUAAUUGUAUGUUCUUAGAAUCAUUACUAUACUCUUGCUGGCCAGAAAAAAAGAUGAAGAAUUGAAAAAUGCAGUUGUUCUGAAACCAAAAUGCUUUGCUCGACCCUAUUAGAUUUACUGAAAUAAAUUUUGGCAGAUAGGCAUAUUCUGACAUUGCCAAAAUGUCCUGUUUUAUAAUUUUGGAACUGGGUAUCUAAUAUGUCUUUUCAAAAUAUUUUUUCAUGUUUAAUGUUCUUAUGAUGUGUUUCAUUUUGUGUUCUCAAUACAAUUAAAAAGUCAACCAUAAUCAAAAGUUUCUGAGACAUCUCAGUUGAUACAACACAUUUUUCUUAAAACUUUCUCUUCCAAAUAAUUUCAGAAUUUUCAGAAGUUGUGCCUAACUGGCCUAAGAUCAAAUUUGGAAAUCCUCUGCAAAUUUAUUUUCUGCAUAGGUUUGAUUUAUUGCUGAUAUGCCACCAAAAGUGUGUCAGCCAUAAACCUCUUAAAGAGCUGAAAGGAAAAGAGAUUCACUGUUCCUCAGAGAGGACUUUACACUUACUGGGCCAGGACUUAAAAUCUGUUUCCACCACUGCAAGACUACCCAGUACCAAAACACUUUUCUUCAAGUGAAGCUGAGGAGAAAUUGGUGGUAAUUUUUAUGUCACCUUGCACAAUUUAAAGAGUUUAGAGGAUAUAAGAUGAAAUAUUAUAAUCUCUGAAAAUACAGAUGUUAGUUUAUAACAUUAAAAUGCCUGACUGGUUAAAGUUCGUAGUAGCUCUCAUUUGCUUCUGUAAAGUGCAUCUUCAAGAAAUCAGAAAGUAAGUAUUUCUUCAUAGCUGUAGAUUCCAAGGCAUGGGGUUUGAUAUGUUUAUUUAUUAGCAUUGGUCUGUGUAGCAGUGUCUUCAAAUACAAAUUUGCUAUAAGAAGCCAGAUCCCUCAGCCCAUUGAGUCAAUUUUGUGCUACUUCAUAGCUCGCUUCAUAGCAGUGGAAAAUGAUGUGUACCAUCUGGAGGGUUCUCCUGAAUAUUUUCUCUGUGAAGAUGGUUGCUUUAAAGCCAGCAGAGAUGUCUUCACUAUCUCUGACACCUCUGCUGUGCUGCCUGGCAUGAGAGAAAAUGGUGUAUUUACAGAGAAGACAGAGAAUGUGGAGAGAAAAG